AGUAUUCCAAGCUUGUGUGUCCGGGCUUUUUAGCUUCCUUGGCCCAGAGGGUAGAUGGCGCACUCGUCAGUGUGUUGUGGGGUUGAGCGCCUGAUGCGAUGGCUGAAACGGUUGCCCGGCGCCUGGUCCAUCAGAUGUGGUAAGGUAUGCGUGUCUGUGUGCUGUAGCCUGCCGCCAUCACGCUGGUGUCUGGAACAUCGUGUCGGCCCUUGAGGCUGGCCUCAGCUUAGUUCGGCUUCCCAUGGCCUCACGGAACCCUGGAAGGAGGCAGGCGGCGGGCUGGCCUCCAUUGUCUGGCCUUCACCCGCCGCAGCCACCACCACCUCUACCACCACCACCACCACCACCAUCGUCCUCGAGCUUUUGCAGACUUUCUUCCUGGGUGUCGUGGACAACAUGGGGCAGCGGUGUUGUGUAUGACAGUCAUCCACCACAAAAAUUAAAGCUUACACGCGCCUCUCUGCCUAGAGACAUGACAAAAGAAUUGGAGCAAGAUGCCUUUUUGCAUUAAAUAACACUGGACACAGCUGGGAUUGAAUUACCUUAGAAAUGUCUACGUUUUCUUUCUGAUUUCGCAGCUUUGUCUCACCGUCGAGUAAAGAUACAUGGCGUUGAUAUUUCAGUGCUUGA
This is a long non-coding RNA of Scylla paramamosain (green mud crab), 630 nucleotides long. RefSeq lists it as uncharacterized. The transcript is spliced from 3 exons. The record is from RefSeq and is a predicted model, not a curated record. NCBI's taxonomy places the organism in Eukaryota, Metazoa, Arthropoda, Malacostraca, Decapoda, Portunidae.